GAUGAACGCUAGCUACAGGCUUAACACAUGCAAGUCGAGUGACCGGCGCACGGGUGAGUAACGCGUAUCCAACCUUCCCAUUACUUUGGGAUACCCUGCCGAAGGCAGACUAAUACCGCAUGGUAAUGUAUGGGGAUGCGUCUGAUUAGUUUGUUGGCGGGGUAACUGCCCACCAAGGCGACGAUCAGUAGGGGUGCUGAGAGGAAGUCCCCCUACAUGGGAACUGAGACACAGACCAAACUCGGACGGGAGGGAGGAGUGAGUAAUAUUAGGCAAUGGGCGAGGACCUGAACCAGCCAAGUAGCGUGCAGGGGGAUGGCCUAUGGGUGGUAAACUGCUUUUGUGUGGGGAUAGGUACCAUAAGAAUAAGGACCGGCUAAUUCCGUGCCAGCAGCCGCGGUAAUUC
This 406-nucleotide ribosomal RNA is filed under the name uncultured bacterium. RNAcentral's name for it is "partial 16S ribosomal RNA". It matches the Rfam family "Bacterial small subunit ribosomal RNA", at positions 28 to 526 of the family's 1533-position model. The record is from RNAcentral.